AUUUAAAUAGUUUAAAAUAAAAUAUUGAUUUGUGGAAUCAAAGUUAUAAUUUAUUAUUUUAAAUU
RNAcentral lists this transfer RNA (65 nucleotides) under Aphidius colemani. RNAcentral's name for it is "tRNA-His". The record is from RNAcentral. Lineage: Eukaryota; Metazoa; Arthropoda; Insecta; Hymenoptera; Braconidae.